GUGUAUUGCGCGUGGAGGCUGCAGUCACGGUGGCGCCCGCGGGGACGGAGGAGGGAAUGAGUGAAGAGGAGCAAGGCUCCGGCACUACCACGGGCUGCGGGCUGCCUAGUAUAGAGCAAAUGCUGGCCGCCAACCCAGGCAAGACCCCGAUCAGCCUUCUGCAGGAGUAUGGGACCAGAAUAGGGAAGACGCCUGUGUACGACCUUCUCAAAGCCGAGGGCCAAGCCCACCAGCCUAAUUUCACCUUCCGGGUCACCGUUGGCGACACCAGCUGCACUGGUCAGGGCCCCAGCAAGAAGGCAGCCAAGCACAAGGCAGCUGAGGUGGCCCUCAAACACCUCAAAGGGGGGAGCAUGCUGGAGCCGGCCCUGGAGGACAGCAGGUGAGGGAGGAACCGAGGCAUCCCAGAAGCCCUUCAAGGAACCCAGGCCCUGCACCACCCACUCUGCCCUGAGGCCUGGCCAGGUGACACUUAGCCACCCUGACCUGGCCUCUUCCUGAGAGUCCCUCUGGACCUGAACAGGGUUUUCCAGGGCUUCUGCUGCUAUGAAGAAUUCUUGGGGUGGAGGGGUUGGUUAGCCCCAUAGAGGGGUUGUGGCAGUAGGUUGGGGCCUGGGUUAGGGAGGGAGAGGGGUAGAGGCUUGAGGCUAAAGGGAGUUACUCCCCAACAUACCUCCUUGUUCUAGCAAGAUGUCCUUCCUUCACGCGCAGGUUGGAGUUUGUUGCUCCUCUGGUUCUUGGGUACAAAGAUACCCUCUUCUCUGAGACUCUCUUUUCUCAGUCUUUUCGCCGGUGUUUGGCAGCAAAGGAUCCGAGGAGGAAGCUGUUGGUUGAGCCUCCCUGAUUCUUUGGCUCAAUUUGGAAGUUCUCUUAGGGGAUUGGGAGGUCAGGAGGACGUGGGUCCCCCACCCCUCUCUUCCCCCUAUACAUGGGUGUGAAUCAAAGGCCCCC
Molecule: small RNA, 951 nt
Filed under: Pan troglodytes (chimpanzee)
Lineage: Eukaryota; Metazoa; Chordata; Mammalia; Primates; Hominidae
Description: retained intron
Source: RNAcentral